GAUGAACGCUGGCGGCGUGCCUAAUACAUGCAAGUCGAGCGGUAAGGCUCCUUCGGGAGUACACGAGCGGCGGACGGCUGAGUAACACGUAGGAACGUACCCCAACUAGAGGGAUAAGCACCAGAAAUGGUGUCUAAUACCGCAUGUGCUCUUCGGAGUAAAGCUUCGGCGGUUUGGGAACGGCCUGCGCAUGAUUAGCUUGUUGGUAAGGUAAUGGCUUACCAAGGCGACGACUAUUAGC
This 241-nucleotide ribosomal RNA is filed under the name uncultured bacterium. RNAcentral's name for it is "partial 16S ribosomal RNA". It matches the Rfam family "Bacterial small subunit ribosomal RNA", at positions 28 to 287 of the family's 1533-position model. The record is from RNAcentral.